This 253-nucleotide ribosomal RNA is filed under the name uncultured bacterium. RNAcentral's name for it is "partial 16S ribosomal RNA". It matches the Rfam family "Bacterial small subunit ribosomal RNA", at positions 524 to 776 of the family's 1533-position model. The record is from RNAcentral.
UACAGAGGUCCCGAGCGUUGUUCGGAUUCAUUGGGCGUAAAGGGUGUGUAGGAGGUCAGGCAAGUCGGGUGUGAAAUCUCGCCGCUUAACGGCGAAAUGGCACUCGAAACUGCUUGGCUCGAGGAUUGGAGGGGGAGGCGGAAUUCAUGGUGUAGCAGUGAAAUGCGUAGAUAUCAUGAGGAACACCGGUGGCGUAGGCGGCCUCCUGGAAAAUUCCUGACUCUGAAACACGAAAGCCAGGGGAGCAAACGGG